This 400-nucleotide ribosomal RNA is filed under the name uncultured bacterium. RNAcentral describes it as "bacterial SSU rRNA". It matches the Rfam family "Bacterial small subunit ribosomal RNA", at positions 28 to 420 of the family's 1533-position model. The record is from RNAcentral.
GACGAACGCUGGCGGCGUGCUUAACACAUGCAAGUCGAGCGGGAUCCAACCGGUGGCAACACCGGGGAAGAUCUAGCGGCGAACGGGUGAGUAACACGUGAGCAACCUGCCCCGAAGACUGGGAUAACACCGGGAAACCGGUGCUAAUACCGGAUGUCGUCAUUAGGCCGCAUGACCUGAUGAUGAAAGGAUUCAUCGCUUCGGGAGGGGCUCGCGGGCUAUCAGCUUGNGGUGGGGUAACGGCCUACCAAGGCGACGACGGCUAGCUGGUCUGAGAGGACGACCAGCCACACUGGGACUGAGACACGGCCCAGACUCCUACGGGAGGCAGCAGUGGGGAAUCUUGCGCAAUGGGCGAAAGCCUGACGCAGCGACGCCGCGUGAGGGAUGACGGCCUCGG